This 602-nucleotide ribosomal RNA is filed under the name Enterobacter cloacae. RNAcentral's name for it is "bacterial SSU rRNA". It matches the Rfam family "Bacterial small subunit ribosomal RNA", at positions 172 to 769 of the family's 1533-position model. Lineage: Bacteria; Pseudomonadati; Pseudomonadota; Gammaproteobacteria; Enterobacterales; Enterobacteriaceae. The record is from RNAcentral.
CAUAACGUCGCAAGACCAAAGAGGGGGACCUUCGGGCCUCUUGCCAUCGGAUGUGCCCAGAUGGGAUUAGCUAGUAGGUGGGGUAACGGCUCACCUAGGCGACGAUCCCUAGCUGGUCUGAGAGGAUGACCAGCCACACUGGAACUGAGACACGGUCCAGACUCCUACGGGAGGCAGCAGUGGGGAAUAUUGCACAAUGGGCGCAAGCCUGAUGCAGCCAUGCCGCGUGUAUGAAGAAGGCCUUCGGGUUGUAAAGUACUUUCAGCGGGGAGGAAGGCGACAGGGUUAAUAACCCUGUCGAUUGACGUUACCCGCAGAAGAAGCACCGGCUAACUCCGUGCCAGCAGCCGCGGUAAUACGGAGGGUGCAAGCGUUAAUCGGAAUUACUGGGCGUAAAGCGCACGCAGGCGGUCUGUCAAGUCGGAUGUGAAAUCCCCGGGCUCAACCUGGGAACUGCAUUCGAAACUGGCAGGCUAGAGUCUUGUAGAGGGGGGUAGAAUUCCAGGUGUAGCGGUGAAAUGCGUAGAGAUCUGGAGGAAUACCGGUGGCGAAGGCGGCCCCCUGGACAAAGACUGACGCUCAGGUGCGAAAGCGUGGGGAGC